AGAGUUUGAUCAUGGCUCAGAACGAACGCUGGCGGCGUGCUUAACACAUGCAAGUCGAGUGCGCGGUUGUAGCAAUACAACUGGCGCACGGCGCACGGGUGCGUAACACGUGGGCAAUCUGCCCUUCGAUGGGGAAUAACUCCGGGAAACCGAAGCUAAUUCCGCAUAAUAUUCCUUGGACUUCGGUUCGAGGAUUCAAAGCCGUAAGGCGUCGAAGGAGGAGCCCGCGCCCGAUUAGCUAGUUGGUGAGGUAAUGGCUCACCAAGGCUAUGAUCGGUAGCUGGUCUGAGAGGAUGGCCAGCCACACUGGAACUGAGACACGGUCCAGACUCCUACGGGAGGCAGCAGUGGGGAAUCUUGCGCAAUGGGCGAAAGCCUGACGCAGCGACGCCGCGUGGGGGAUGAAGCAUCUCGGUGUGUAAACCCCUUUCGACUGGGACGAAUGCCUCGCAAGAGGAGUGACGGUACCAGUAGAAGAAGCCCCGGCUAACUACGUGCCAGCAGCCGCGGUAAGACGUAGGGGGCCAGCGUUGUUCGGAAUUACUGGGUGUAAAGGGUUCGUAGGCGGUGCGGCAAGUUGGGAGUGAAAUCUCUGGGCUUAACCCAGAGGCUGCUUCCAAAACUGCUGUGCUUGAGUGUGGGAGAGGCGCGUGGAAUUGCAGGUGUAGCGGUGAAAUGCGUAGAUAUCUGCAGGAACACCCGUGGCGAAAGCGGCGCGCUGGACCACUACUGACGCUGAGGAACGAAAGCUAGGGGACAAACAGGAUUAGAUACCCUAGUAGUCC
This 785-nucleotide ribosomal RNA is filed under the name uncultured bacterium. Its description in RNAcentral is "bacterial SSU rRNA". It matches the Rfam family "Bacterial small subunit ribosomal RNA", at positions 8 to 796 of the family's 1533-position model. The record is from RNAcentral.